This 253-nucleotide ribosomal RNA is filed under the name uncultured bacterium. Its description in RNAcentral is "partial 16S ribosomal RNA". It matches the Rfam family "Bacterial small subunit ribosomal RNA", at positions 524 to 776 of the family's 1533-position model. The record is from RNAcentral.
UACGGGGGGGGCAAGCGUUGUUCGGAAUUACUGGGCGUAAAGGGCUCGUAGGCGGCCAACUAAGUCGGAUGUGAAAUCCCCAGGCUUAACCUGGGAACUGCAUCCGAUACUGGAUGGCUUGAAUCCGGGAGAGGGAUGCAGAAUUCCAGGUGUAGCGGUGAAAUGCGUAGAUAUUGGGAGGAACACCAGUGGCGAAGGCGGCUCACUGGACUGGUACUGACGCUGAGGCGCGAAAGCGUGGGGAGCAAACGGG